AUAUUUAAGGAGGCCGCGCAAGCCUAAGCUCAGUCUUGUGCCUGCUAGAGACCAAAGAGGUUGCCCAGAAGACCUGGAGCAGAGGCCUCUCUCCCUACAACCAGUAACACCAACCAGCAACAAGCAACAAGCAACCAGCAACGAAGGCCCUCUUUAAGUGAACAAUCAACAUGGAUUUUUAUAUUGCCCUGGAAGAUGUUGCCUCCCAGUAUUUGUCUAUUUUUAUUUUUGGGUUUUACAUCCUUGGAAGUUUACAUGAAGGGAGGGGACUGGCCAACAUCUUGAACCAAAUCAUCUUUCUGAAGUUUCUUAAACCCCUUAACAGCGCAGCCCAAUGGAUAUUUCACUUGCUAAGAGCUUGGGUGCCUGGUUUUUUUUCCAUUCUGUUUCGUCUGAGUCAAAGUUUUAGUGUUUGUGUGUGGAAAGAACUAAGGCAGAAGAAAGGAAGAACUUUAAUAGAAUGGACCUGGUGGGCAUUUGCCAGUGUAUUUGUCAUCUCCCAAAAAGCCAGAAAUGUCAGCAAAGUCGUUCUCGUUAAAACCAGGAAGCAGUUUUUUGUCAUCUGUGUUCUCCGUGUCCUGGCCAAGAUCUGGGAAAUAGUAUACCAACGUGCCCAAGCCCUAGCAAGUUUUACCAUCCGAAAACAGAUCAAGAUCCAACCAGAUACCCAAGCUGCUGCUAUUACUGCUACUACCACUGCCUUCCCCUUUGACCUUUGCACCCCAGUUGUUCCUGGGAGACCGCAAUUUGCUGACCUGAUGUCAACCAGGGCUAGCUUUGGCCAUUGCAGAAGACCUUCUUCCAGGUCUCAUUUCCAUCAGAUUCCUGGCAAGGCCUAUAAAGCCAAGAGAGGACUCCAGGAGCCCUAGAGGACUCCUCGACACCAUGGUCUCACGCAACACAAAGAGGAGAAGCCCUGCCCCUUGGUAUCAACACAACUGAAGCAACAAGUAUCGUUACAUCUCUUUACGUAGACUUCCACCCAGAGGAGCAAUCAAUAAAUAAAGGGUCCAAGCGUGAAACCUCUUAAAAA
Molecule: long non-coding RNA, 1033 nt
Organism: Monodelphis domestica (gray short-tailed opossum)
Lineage: Eukaryota; Metazoa; Chordata; Mammalia; Didelphimorphia; Didelphidae
Source: RefSeq, a predicted model, not a curated record